Chinchilla lanigera (long-tailed chinchilla) is the source of this 745-nucleotide long non-coding RNA. RefSeq lists it as uncharacterized. The record is from RefSeq and is a predicted model, not a curated record. The transcript has 4 exons. Lineage: Eukaryota; Metazoa; Chordata; Mammalia; Rodentia; Chinchillidae.
AGCAAAGCAGCGUCUGCAGGAGGAGGUCUUCCCUGAGGAAAAUCUGAAAUACACAGUGUCAGUAAAUACCAGCCCCCUGGAAAGUUCCAGCUUCCCUGAAACUUAACCUCCUCACAGGAGAAAGGUAGACCAGAGUGCCUGAUUCUGAAACCUGUUAGGAGUGUGACCAGCACAUUCUCCUGCCUGAGUAACAGACCUGAAGGCUGGCUUGAGUGUCUGGUGCCCUGGGCCUGGGCCAACAUUUCUGGACACCUGUGUUUAGGUCUUUAGUUUUGCUGAAAGCCAUGUAGACAACGUGACUUUAUCUAUCUGCAAGGUCGCUGUGAGAGAGCUCCCUGGGAAGGCUCCUACCGCCCUCCCUGCGGUGGGUGUGGCCUCACGUGUCUGACGUAACCCUGUGACCAGCAGGCAGCCAAUGGGCUUCGACACAGUUUUAACGGUUAGUACCAUCGAUGGACUACAAAGACCCAAGGAAAAGAGGUUCUUGGCACUGGAAUUCACACCCAGAGCUACAUGGUGCAGAAUGGACACUUGAUUCAGUGCCUGGAUGGCACGUUAGGAUCUGGAGGGUGCCAGGGGCUCAGCACCAGAGACACAAACCCUCAGACUCUACUACCAAGCAUGCCUGGUUGUUUCUUCUACAAAUGGGCAAGUCCCAUCUGUCCCGUGCACCAUGCUUCCUAUCCUCUUUUGAUGUGAGGAUCAAAGAAGACAACAGAUGUGAAAACACAUUAAAAGAUACAAA